RNAcentral lists this ribosomal RNA (235 nucleotides) under uncultured bacterium. RNAcentral's name for it is "partial 16S ribosomal RNA". It matches the Rfam family "Bacterial small subunit ribosomal RNA", at positions 99 to 334 of the family's 1533-position model. The record is from RNAcentral.
CGGACGGGUGAGUAACGCGUGGGUAACCUGCCUUGUACAGGGGGAUAACAGUCAGAAAUGACUGCUAAUACCGCAUAAGCGCACAGGACCGCAUGGUCCAGUGUGAAAAACUCCGGUGGUAUAAGAUGGACCCGCGUUGGAUUAGCUGGUCGGUGGGGUAACGGCCUACCAAGGCGACGAUCUAUAGCCGGCCUGAGAGGGUGAACGGCCACAUUGGGACUGAGACACGGCCCAG